Long non-coding RNA from Camelina sativa (false flax), 847 nucleotides. RefSeq lists it as uncharacterized. NCBI's taxonomy places the organism in Eukaryota, Viridiplantae, Streptophyta, Magnoliopsida, Brassicales, Brassicaceae. The record is from RefSeq and is a predicted model, not a curated record.
CCAUGGUGAUAUCUGGAACACCAGCCUUCUUCACGUGGAGCGUCAGGGGAGUGUCUGAAACGCCUUUGCCAGAACCUGCAACAUGAGUUUACACAAGUACUUAUCAAAAUCAUGACCUCCAUAGGGACGUCUAUACAAGUAGCUAGCUCGUUUUAGAUGUGGAAUACAUCAGAUAAGUUUGCAUUUUCAAAGUCUUGCAAGUUUAAACUGAACAUAUUAAGCAGUAUGGAAGGGAGAAGUCAGAACGUACCAGCAAUCACAUCAGUUGCAGCACAAAUCGCUUCAGCAAUGUGUGCCUCAUCAGUAUGAAUAGUAGUGUCAUUAUACUCAAGCCAGAUCUCAGGGUCAGGGCUUAAACUUCGCUGAAGCCGCAUCACAAGAGGAACCCUAGUGCAGAUUCCUUGCCCACGAGGCAAACUGAUUCCGGCCAAGGACUCAAGAACACUUGACUUCCCUGAAGACUGAUCUCCAACCACAACAAUGGUGGGAAGCUGGAUCCCUUCUCUCAUCACGUUCAGGUUCCUUAGCUUGUCCACAGUGUCAAGCAACGGCCUGAUCCGGUCAUUGUAAGAAGAUAUAAUCGGUGCUUCAAUGGGAACAGCAUCUUUGUUGGCAUGAGGAUUCGCCUGGGCAACAGCAAGAGAAGGACAGGCUCUAGUGACAACAUGCUUCUUUGUACUUUUCAUUUUCUUCUUUGAGAGAAUACAAGAGUGAGAUAGAGAGUGCAAAGACAAGUUUAAGCGUAAGUGAGUUCUCUACUAGGAGAUGUGCGAAUACAGAGAUAGAGAUAUUAAAAGAAGUACUCGUGUAUGGAUAUAAAAGAAGUGAUCAUUACACCUACAUAGCU